UCAUAAUUCUCGAAUGGCACAUCCUCGAUCAUAUACAACUGAAGUCGUUGACAACGAUGAUUUGGUGUGAAUUUUUCAUCGCAAUAGUAGCACAAACCUUUUUGUCUCCGUUCAUGGGCUUCUUGACCAGUUAACUUUGUGAAGGUGGGUGGCGAGAUAUUUGGAUUGUCGAUUGUUGGUUAGGUAUUUGAUGUGGUGGGUGGAGGGCCUAACAUUCCCGACAUGAAAUUGGUUGUGACUCUCGAGCUUGUCGGUGUAGUUUGUGAGCAAAUGGGUUGCGAAAAUUUUUGUUGCAGCAUAUUUCUUUCCUCCGCGAGUCUUGCAACGCCUAUCGCAUCUACUAGAGAUUUCGGCUGUUUAAUUUUCACAUCAAGGCGAAUCUCAUCGGAAAGACCUGAAAUAAAACAACCAAUUAAAAAGUUUUCCGGAAGACCGUUCACUUGUUCGGAUAAUUUUUCGAAGGCCUCCUGAUACACAACCACUUUUGUAGUUUGUUUGAGACGCGUGAGAGCUUCAGAAGGAUUUUCAGAAUCGGUUGGACCAAAGCGGCUCAAAACAGCCUUGGAAAGCUCGUCCCACGAUAAGGGUCCUCGAAACUUUGUUAAACACCGAUGUCACUACAAGGCAAUCCCCUCAAGGUGCAUGAAGCGAGUUGAACCUGUUACGUUAAUAUUUUGGAAUUCAAAAUACUGCUAUGCCUUAUAUAUCCACCCCAUUGGAUCAUCACCACUAUACCUCGAAAAUUGUAGCUUGAGAUUUGUAUUUGGAAUAAGAGUUGGAGAUGUGCUUGUUGUAGCUACGGCUGUAUUUUGGUUGCAUGUUUGUGAAGAUUCUCCCACAGCAAAGGGGUUAACAUUAUUGUCGGGAGAUUUAGGUUGGUUGGAUGAAUUCCUUAGAGCUUGAAGCUCGGUGAGGACAAUAUGGAGAGUAUUGUGUAAUUGGUCGAAAUUUGACUUGUAUCGAGCUAGGAUAUCGAAAACAUCGGUGCGAAACUCGGCAUUGGAUUUAUUUCGAUGGAACGUGGCUCUGAUACCACUUGAUAGGGUAUAAUUUGUCAAGAGAGAAUAAUAGAAGAAAGAAGAGAAGUUGAAUAAGCUAAGAAGACUAAGUAAAUAAUUAUGUUCUCGUAUAUCCCCCUAUCGUCUACUGUAGCUAUAUAUAUACAUAGCCUUACAAUAAAUAUAGUAACUGUCAAGAUAAACAAUAAACUGAUAAAUAGGAAAUAUUAUCAACUACUUAAGCUACUACUUAUCUACCACUAAUGAUAUACUAAGUCAAAACACUAUCCC
RNAcentral lists this long non-coding RNA (1289 nucleotides) under Erythranthe guttata (spotted monkey flower). RNAcentral describes it as "long non-coding RNA (EGUT_LNC001862)". Lineage: Eukaryota; Viridiplantae; Streptophyta; Magnoliopsida; Lamiales; Phrymaceae. The record is from RNAcentral.